RNAcentral lists this ribosomal RNA (427 nucleotides) under uncultured bacterium. RNAcentral describes it as "partial 16S ribosomal RNA". It matches the Rfam family "Bacterial small subunit ribosomal RNA", at positions 354 to 796 of the family's 1533-position model. The record is from RNAcentral.
GUGGGGAAUAUUGGGCAAUGGGGGAAACCCUGACCCAGCGACGCCGCGUGAGGGAAGACGGCCUUCGGGUUGUAAACCUCUUUUGUACGGGAAGAAGGAAGUGACGGUACUGUACGAAUAAGUCCCGGCUAACUACGUGCCAGCAGCCGCGGUAAUACGUAGGGGACGAGCGUUGUCCGGAAUUACUGGGCGUAAAGGGCGCGCAGGCUGUGCUGCAAGUCAGCUGUGAAAUGUCUGGGCUUAACCCGGGCAUGCGGUUGAGACUGCAGUGCUGGAGUGGUGUAGAGGCAAGUGGAAUUCCCAGUGUAGCGGUGAAAUGCGUAGAUAUUGGGAAGAACACCGGUGGCGAAGGCGACUUGCUGGGCAGCAACUGACGCUGAGGCGCGAAAGCCAGGGGAGCAAACGGGAUUAGAAACCCCGGUAGUCC